Molecule: long non-coding RNA, 762 nt
Filed under: Homo sapiens (human)
Lineage: Eukaryota; Metazoa; Chordata; Mammalia; Primates; Hominidae
Description: HSALNT0380768
Source: RNAcentral
AUAAAGAUACAUUUGUCAUUUUGUGGUGUUCAUCUAUAUUUAAAUGAAGGAUACGAAUCAUCAUUGUAAUGGCAACUUUAGCUGUCAGGGAUCCUGUUGCAGCUCUGCCUCAGCCAGUCUGUGCACAGAGCAUGGAGCACCAGGGCCAUGGAGCAUGUGGGCUAUGGAAUCGGGUUGCCUAUUUUCAUCUUGACUCCAUCACUUGCUGGGCAACCUUGAGGAGCGGACUCAAACCUUUCAAAUAUUUUGAGUGGUUGGAAAGAAGAAACACAAAACAAUUCUAUUUUCUGAGUUUUAAAAAUGUCUGAACCCCUGGAAGACCCAGCCAGACCAAAUCUGCUUUUUCUCCUGGAUCCAUAAUGUACAGUGGUAAAUUAAAGGCUUCGAGAAGCUCUGUAGUAAAGAACUCUGUUUAACUUGAUGUUUUACACAUUCAUUAGACCAUGAGAUUCUCUUCUUGUAGAAUAAGAAUCAACAUCUCAUAGAAAAUUUCCAGAGACCACAGUUAAAGAAGGGUUCUCUGAAGCCUUUUAAAAGCAGAGAGUAGGCAGCCUGAGGUACCAACUCUGCAGUGUGAUCAGCAGAGGAAGACAGAAUUGGGAGAAGCAGCAGAGGUCUAUGGCUUCUAACUGGAACCUAAGGAUAAAAGCACAAGAGAUGCUGAGUGGGAACACUAGGGAAAUUUGCCAGUACAUGGAUCCUGUUUGGAAGAAUCAGAUCAAAGGAAGAAAUAUACAGUGUCAGACCCUGGCACCUCCCAGG